This 6657-nucleotide long non-coding RNA is filed under the name Prunus persica (peach). RNAcentral's name for it is "long non-coding RNA (PPER_LNC007768)". The record is from RNAcentral. Lineage: Eukaryota; Viridiplantae; Streptophyta; Magnoliopsida; Rosales; Rosaceae.
AGAGCAAUCUGGGCCUUCAUAGCAAGAAUUACACUCACAAACUGGUUCCUUCCCAUCAAGAACCAACCCAUCCAAAUAGGCUGUUCCAUGGCCUGAGCAAGGAAUGGCUGCCACACGCUCAGCUUCUUCUGCUGCUCUUUUACUCCAAGUAAGUCUCCACUCUCCAUCCACACAGAAUUGGAAAACCAAUAACAGAUUAACAGCUAUAGAAAGUGCCAAGAUCACAAAGUAGGAGGAGCUUUGUGCCUUAGCCAUGUUAAUUAGUUUCUUAUUUCCUUUCCUAGCUCUCUUAACUUAACAUGCAUAUAGAGCCUUAUAUAUCAACAGAAAGAGGACAAAUUUAAUACGUUACCAGACAGCCUUGACAAAUUCAAAAUUGAGAAUUUAUAUUAAUCCAUAGACGUCAAGGAAUUUUUGUAGAAAUUAAUUAACUGGGAAAAAAUUAUAGCACCAUAUCAACCAUAAUUCUUGCACCAUUAUAUGUACUUCCCCGCUACAAAAUACGGUUUAACAUUAUCCGUUGUUUAAAUUGUUGAAGAAUAUUGAAGUUCCAUAUUAAAAACUUGAUCAAAUCAAAAAAUUAUAUAAUAAGUGGUUCCACUAUUAAUGACACUGAAGUCUUUUAUGAUAAAACCCCACACCUGCUAAACCAGGAAAACUUACUUGUAAUUUCCAACAAGGUCCAUCCUUCUAAACUUUAACAUAAAUCCUCGACGACUUUACCUAAGAAGGACAGGUAUGUACCACUGUGCCAAAUAGAGUUUGAUAUCAUCUUUGGUUUGUUUUCCAUUUAAUUUGUUGAUGACUUUGAAAAGUCUUAUCUAUGUUGGUAACCAAGAAAAAUCAUAUGCCUAUCUGUUUUUCGAGGAACCUACUUACUCUUCUUAAGCCAAAGUUAGAAUUAACAAGAAAGUAAUCGGAAAUAUUCAUCGUAUUAAUAUGUGGAAAUCAAACACGAAAAUAAAAAUAUUAAUAUAAUACAUUGGAUUAUAGGGUAGAACAAAAUAUUAUCACGUUGCUGCUGACAAUUGUACUCAAACCUCUGACCAUUCACUUACGUCUGAAUCUGGUAUUUCUAGGAUUCAGAUAUUCAAAUAAGGGGUCCUGCUCUUGAAAUAAUUUCAAUGUCUAUAUCAAAGUGAUUUGAAAUAAUCAGUCGUUUAGACUUUAGAGUCCAAGAAGUACUCUUUUAAAAAUAAAUAAAAAUCUUGUGUACUGCCAAAUUAACCAUAUAAACAAAAUGAAACUUUUUGGUUAUUUGAAAGCAUUUUGAUAUUGCCAGAGCUACUCCCAAAAUAUAAGUAAUCUUAGACUCCAUUUGAAUGGAGGGAUUCCAAAUCUAUUAAUUUAGGUGAUAUUGUAAGGUAAAAUUGUUUAUUUAGACCAAAACAAUUCGUGUAUGCAAAGAUUUGAACAAUAAAGAAAGGAAAACUAUGCCAUGUUUGUUUUCGUCUAUUGGGUCUCUGUGUUCCCAAGCUAGAUCACGUUUAUUAACUCCACUAGACAUCUUAAACGUUCUUACAUUUAUUUUUCAUAGAAAAUUAGGUAAUUAUUUUUUGGCCAAAAAUUAUAGUAGUUACGGUUAUCUAAGAGAACCGAAAUAAUAAAGUUAUUAUACGAAAGAAUUAAAUAGGAAGUAAUUAAUUGUAGGAAUUUCAAUAGUUACGAAAAUAAUACGGAAUAAUAAAACUUAAUAAUGAAUAAUAAUUCAAUUCAAUAAUAAAAUCAUAAAUUAUAUUAAACAUAUUAAAAUUAUCAUAUGAAAUAAUUAUACAAUAUUACUUAAUUACUUCAAAGAAUUAACAUGCAAGUAUUAUUUGGUUCUCACAUCACAAGCACGGAUCCACACAAAAAAUAUUUUUGUAUAAAUUACAAUAAUAUAGAUAUAAGUUUGUGAACUUACCUUAAAUAUGGAACCCUUUAUGUAAGGUCCAAAUAGAAUCUGCAUGGACCAACAAUAAAAAAUAAUUAAACAAAUAUAACAAAAUGCGAUGGAAGUAUAUAAGGUCUUUAAUAAUAAAUUAAGAGACAAUAAACACACAUAUAAGUGAUCAAAUAAAGAAUAGAAAAUUUAAAAAUCACAUGCCAUUGACUAAGUAAUUAAUUGACACAAUUUAAAAUAUAAUACCAUCAAACAUUUGGAAUAGAUAAUAAUAAACAUACAAAUUAAAUAUCAAUAAUGAAUGAAAAUAACUUACUAUAGUUCAGUUUUGGUUUUACUUGUGGGGAAAUUGAGGUGAUAGAUGUUGAAAAUGACAUGAGCAUUAUGUUUUGUUUUGGGAUAAAGAUGUUGAGAAAUAGGGGACGGCAUGGGACUAUUUGAUUUUAUUAUUUGUAUAUAUAGAAAUAGGACUACAACUAAUUAGUUAGGUGAGUGGUUGAAUGGUAGGGUAAGUGAUGAAAGUUGAAACGUGAUGAGUAGUUCGAAAGUUGAAACUUGAAAAGCAAAGGUCAAAGACUCACAUUCUCAUGUGAAAAUAUGAUUCUUCCAAAAAAAAAAAAGUUCAAAACAAAACAAUAUAAAUAUACAUAUUUUAGCAUAUUAUCGCAUAUUUUAGCAUUAGAUGAGUGAAAUGGUAGGGGGGGAAUACCCUUUGUGUGUGUGCUUUGUUUUUUUCUUUUUCUUUUUUCCAUUACAUCGAUAUUUUCUAUAUUAUAGCGAUAUUUUGACAAAAUAUUGCUGAAGUGUGAGCGAAAUUAUUGACAUCAAUAUUUUCCGAUAUUGUUGAUAUUUAUACGAUAUGUAUAUGGAUGUUCUGAAAUAUUCGUGACCCAAAAAAAGAUAAUAUUCUCGAUAUUAUCUAUAUUUCAGACUAUGGGGCACAAUACUGCUUCCACACUACCCAAAGAAUUAAGAGAUAUUUAGUGAUAUACCCAUUCUUAGCACUAAUAUUAUAGAUAAACCAUACACUAUUGAAUUUCUAUAAACAAACCCAAAAAAAACUCAAAAUUUGACAAUUGGCCUUAUUGAAUUUAAUAUUAAUUAUUAAAUUACUUUGAUACCCUAUUGAGUAUUUUGGGUAUUUUUAUGAGAUUUUGGGAUUGGGCUUGUUUUAAGAAAUUAAUGGCAGUUUUGUAAUUUAUAAGAAGUUAAAAGCCUCUUUGUUAUGUUGUAAAUGAACUUUGGGUAUGUUUCUAAAGUCCAUUUCAUAUAGGGUAUUUUUAUAAUUUGGGCCCCCAUAUUGGGUAUAAUAGUGAAUCUCCCAAGAAUUAAUUGAUAAAUUAGAAAAUUUAACCUUAGGAAUAAUUUUCAUAAAAGAAAAAGUAGAAUAAAUCCAUUUGAUAAUAGUAAAUGGAGCUUUUUAGGAGAAAAGGAAAAGAAAUAAUUAGAACAGAGAUAUAUACCCUAGUGACCAAGAAACACAAGAAUUUUUUAGAAAAUGUUUCAAAAAUCCCAAAAAAAAUAAGUAUAAUUUAUAUCAAUUAGGAAGAUUUGAAAAUAAAUAUAGCAUUAUAAGUAGCAUUAGUCAAUGAAGUAAGCUAUAUAGAUAAAGAAGUAACUCUUAAUUUACUUAGUAACAUAGCAAUAGAGCAUCUUAAAAAGUUACACUAUAAACAAAUUCAUGUAUAGGAACAAUUAUAAUAGGAAUAGCUGGACUCAUAAGAGCAUAAGUAGGAACUAAAGCAUUAGUAUACAUAUAUGCUAAUAGAUGGGAUAACCAUUGGCAAGUAGCUAAAGCUAAGGCAGAAGUAGAUCUUAGCACAAAUCUAGCAACAUAGGAUGUAUUCCUAAUUCUGCCAUGAAUAUUAGAGAAUUUAGUAAACGUAUUAAAAUUAGCAUAAGAACGAAAAAUUACAAUAUGAAAGGUGAAUACAAAAAUGUAAGUAUUAGUCUUAUGUAUGUAGGAAAAGUUUCAAACAACUAUAAUUAUAAAUUUAUGUAAAAUUUUAAUAUCUAGUACAAACUUUUGGUAGUAAACAUGUUAAUAUGAUAGAGGCAAAACUAGUAGAUAAUAGCUUUUUAGAAGGAAUUGAAUGGAUUUUACCCAAUUUACAAGUAGCAAAAAAUAGACAACCUAAUAAAGCACAAAUUUUUGAAAAUCAUAUAGGUGAAGCAAUAGUAAGAUUUACUAAUUAUAAACAAAAAAAGGAUAUAGAAGACUUAGAAAGUGAAGUAGAAGAAAUACAUGUCAUUUGAUAACUUAGAAAUAAAUAUGAUUGAGCAUAAUUUUGAUAAUAUAGUUGAUAAACUCAUAGAUGACAUAGAUAAUUUAAAUGAAGAACAAUAUAUAGAAAAAUAUAAGACUUAUGAUUUAGGAUUACAUAGAUUGUCAAUUAAAGAAAUGAAGGACUUAAUUUUAAAUAUAGGAUUAGAACACAUUUUAGGAGAAAAAAAUAUCAAAAUAUGUUAAUUGAAGUAGAAUGCAUGCCAGUAGAAGACCAAUAUAGUUCAACUGAACUAUUUGUAGUCAAUGCAAGUAGAACAAACCAGCAAAAUCUUAGGCAAACUAAUGAACCAUAUAGAGAAAAUAAUGAAGAAACCGGUAGGUAUGUUUUUCAAGAAGAAACAAUUGGACUAAGAAAAAAUUAGAAUCCCUUAUAAAGGAAUUGAACAAAUUCGUUUAGCAGGAAAUAUAUUAAACUUCAAUCAUGUAGACCCACAAGGAGGAUUUUUAUAUACACCUCCAAAUUUUACCUUGGUCAAGAAUUUUUAGCAUAUAAUUAUGAUUAUGAAAUAGAAAAAAAAAAAAAACAACUUUCUUUUUUUGCAGGAAAAAUAUGAAGAGCAAAAGAAAGAGUAUGAUACAAUUGUAAGAAAUUGUAGAAUUAUUAAUUUCAGAUGUCAAAAUUUAAGCAUGAUUUUACAAGAAAAAGAGGUUAACGAGCCCAACUUAUUUGAGCAUAAUAGAGAAUUUUCCCUUGAGCAAAAAACUAAAAAUCCAUAUUUUCUUCAAACCCUAACUAGAGAAAGGUAUAGAUUUUUACCAGGAGAUAUUAAGAGUCAUAUGAUUAGAUUAAAAUAUGAGCAAAAUACAUUUCUUUAGUUAUACAUUCAAGCUUUCCCUUUUUAAUUUUAAAAAAAUAAUCCACAUCCUGGUAUAAAAAUUAUUACUAAAAGCUGUUCUCAUUAUACUAGUUAUUUAGCUAGUAUUAACAUGGUGGAAUAUAGAGAACUGCAUUUAGAGCAUAACCAAAAAAAUAUCACAAUUACUCCAACAUUUUUUACCAAAGUAUGGCUAUUUAGGUCAACUUUAUAUUGAAAAUAGUCCUCAUUUAGAUUCAUUUUCCUUAAAAUUAAAAAAAGUUAUAAGUUUUUGUAUCCCUCUUUGGAAGAACAUAACAUUAGAUUUCACCAAUAUACGCCCAGAGUAGUUUACGGAUAGUAUUUACCCAGACAGAGUAUAACAUAGUAUUAUUGUUUCUCAUAAUGAACUGCUUAGUCCAGUAGAAUUAAAUACGUAGAUCUCUACAACGCAAGACAUUCAAAAAUACAAAGGAGCAACUUUAGUUGAGCAACAAUUCUUCAAUGAUGAUCGUCUGAACCUCCUUCACCAAUCCAACUUUAUCAAGAUUUAUUCAUAGACUAUAUCCAGGAGACCAGAAGACGCAUAUGAAUUCAGGAUAAGCAAAACAAGAGCAAAAGUUUUUUUAUGAAAUCUAUAACCAUAUAGCAUAAUAAAUUGAAGCAGAAGACAACGACAACUCAUACUGGAAUAGCUUAGGAGAAGAAGAGCUACACAACAUAGACAACAUGAUGGAAGCAUAAUGAAGUAAGAACUCCAUGUGAAGGCCUCAUGAUAGAAUAAGCAUCAUCAAAUUCAUUUCACAUGAAGAGAUCAUCCCAGCAACAUAAAAGCGGAUGCAACAUUAGUCGAAAGUUUAUUAAAGCAAGAAAAUUCAAUUUUGUUGGGCUCCAUACGGCUAGCAAGAAGCAAGACUUUUUGGCAAUAUCUGAAAAAUAAAGAAAAGAUGCAAUCUAAAAAUGAAUAAGUGCAUUAUUGUCCAAACACUAGAAUUUUGUCCUUCUUCAUAAAUACUUCCCUCAUUUUGGGCUGAAUCAAGAGUCUCCCAUUAAAAAGCUAAUUGAUACAAGAAAAUCAUAUAUACAUACACCCCAUUUAAGCAAAAAUCACAUUUGCAUCCCCCGGAGGUGCAAAAGAUAUGUAAAUGUGGCUUUACAUCUCCAAUUUACACCCUAAGCAUUGGAGAUGCUCUAAAGAAGCUAGAAUUAUUCAACGGAAAAAGUGAGAAUGGAAACCCAAUGAAAUUAGAGUUUGAGAUUGGUCAAACACAAUGCUCCUCUGGAGUGUAACCAUUAGUACGAUCAAUAAACUAUUCCAUCGUUAGGCAAAAUUGGCAUGGCAUCAAUGACCAGUAAAUCUAUAAUUAAUUCUAACCAUCAACUGUAAUAGAUCUGUUUCUUAAGAAAAGCAAGAUGAGCAUCAAACUACAAUGUAGUUUUGAUAAUUAAUUAUCAGUCGUGUUACAAAGCAUCAGCUCAUCAACUCAGGCUCUAUAGGAAAAACAAUGUGAAUCCAGCCGUUAGUUUCUUUAAAUUAAACUAAUUAGUUCAACAUUUAUGCAUAUAACUUCAUACAUAUAGUAGUAACCUGAAGAUCAAAAUCUUAUUAAAUUAAGGAUUGCAGACGAAUACGAUGACUCAGUACUGAAUCUGCUACAGUCAGUUCCGCUUGGAAGAGUUCAACUCCAGAUCCC